CGGCCAGACUCCUACGGGAGGCAGCAGUGGGGAAUAUUGCACAAUGGGGGGAACCCUGAUGCAGCGACGCCGUGUGGGUGAAGAAGUCAUUCGUGACGUAAAGCCCUAUCAGCAGGGAAGAAAAUGACGGUACCUGACUAAGAAGCCCCGGCUAACUACGUGCCAGCAGCCGCGGUAAUACGUAGGGGGCAAGCGUUAUCCGGAUUUACUGGGUGUAAAGGGAGCGUAGACGGCGGCGCAAGUCCGGAGUGAAAGCCCACGGCCCAACCGUGGGACUGCUCUGGAAACUGCGGCGCUGGAGUACGGGAGGGGCAGGCGGAAUUCCUGGUGUAGCGGUGAAAUGCGUAGAUAUCAGGAGGACCACCGGCGGCGAAGGCGGCCUGCUGGACCGUGACUGACGUUGAGGCUCGAGAGCGUGGGGAGCAAACAGGAUUAGAUACCCCCGUACG
This 449-nucleotide ribosomal RNA is filed under the name uncultured bacterium. RNAcentral's name for it is "partial 16S ribosomal RNA". It matches the Rfam family "Bacterial small subunit ribosomal RNA", at positions 328 to 793 of the family's 1533-position model. The record is from RNAcentral.